RNAcentral lists this long non-coding RNA (344 nucleotides) under Homo sapiens (human). RNAcentral's name for it is "non-protein coding lnc-IFT20-2:1". Lineage: Eukaryota; Metazoa; Chordata; Mammalia; Primates; Hominidae. The record is from RNAcentral.
GAGGCUCUUCAACAGCAGGUGAUCCGGCGGAGGGCGCGAGGUUGGGAGGGAGGACGACGGAGGGUGCGGGGGGACACGGACGCCGCCGGGCACCCCCACGCGCAUCGCGGCCCAAGCUGGGCUCUGGGAGCAGCCUCAUGACCGCUGCAAAGACGUGUUCUCAGCACAAAGAAAUCUAAAAACCACAAGAAAAUUGCAAACGCCACGAACACCUCCCCACCGAAAGCCACGAAACCCCCUCCAUGGACCACCACGAAACCCCAGUGGCUGAACACCUCGGAACCCCGACCACCAACCUCCUGGGGCCCCAGCAGCUUGAAUACCUCCUGCGCCCAGGAUUUCAC